UACGUAGGGUCCGAGCGUUGUCCGGAAUUAUUGGGCGUAAAGAGCUCGUAGGCGGUUUGUCGCGUCUGCUGUGAAAUCCCGAGGCUCAACCUCGGGUCUGCAGUGGGUACGGGCAGACUGGAGUGCGGUAGGGGAGAAUGGAAUUCCUGGUGUAGCGGUGAAAUGCGCAGAUAUCAGGAGGAACACCGGUGGCGAAGGCGGGUCUCUGGGCCGAUACUGACGCUGAGGAGCGAAAGCGUGGGGAGCAAACAGG
Molecule: ribosomal RNA, 253 nt
Filed under: uncultured bacterium
Lineage: Bacteria
Description: partial 16S ribosomal RNA
Rfam family: Bacterial small subunit ribosomal RNA
Source: RNAcentral